CCUGGUCGUCUGGGCAUACACAUGUCAAGUGGUAUCGUUGAACUUAAUGUGAUUUCUUCGGAGGUGAACUUAAGUUGGAUUAUGCCGAACGGUGAUUAACGCGUGAGUAACCUGCCUUAGAGAAGGGAUAGCCUUUGUAACGAAGAUAAUACCCUAGGACAUGAUACCUCGCAUGAGAUUUAUCAUCAAAGAUUUAUCGCUUAAGAUGGACUUGCGUCUGAUUAGUUAUUGUGGGUUAACGGCCCACCAAGACAGCGAUCAGUACCGGCUUGAGAGAUGUACGGCCACAUUGGGACUGAGACACGGCCCAGACUCCUACGGGAGGCAGCAGUGGGGAAUUUUGCACAAUGGGGGAAACCCUGAUGCAGCGACGCCGCGUGAUUUAGAAGGCCUUCGGGUUGUAAAAAUCUUUUCUAUGGGAAGAACAUGACAGUACCAUAGGAAUAAGGACCGGCUAAUUACGUGCCAGCAGCCGCGGUAAUACGUAAGGUCCGAGCGUUGUCCGGAAUCAUUGGGCGUAAAGGGUACGUAGGCGGGUAAGCAAGUUAGAAGUGAAAUCCUAUAGCUCAACUAUAGUAAGCUUUUAAAACUGCUCAUCUUGAGGUAUGGAAGGGAAAGUGGAAUUCCUAGUGUAGCGGUGAAAUGCGCAGAUAUUAGGAGGAAUACCGGUGGCGAAGGCGACUUUCUGGCCAUAACCUGACGCUGAGGUACGAAAGCGUGGGUAGCAAACAGGAUUAGAUACCCUGGUAGUCCACGCCGUAAACGAUGAGUGUUAGGUGUCUGGAGUAAAUCUGGGUGCCGCAGCUACGCAUUAACACUCCGCCUGUGAGGAGUACGCGGCGCAAGC
Molecule: ribosomal RNA, 847 nt
Filed under: uncultured Clostridia bacterium
Lineage: Bacteria; Bacillati; Bacillota; Clostridia
Description: bacterial SSU rRNA
Rfam family: Bacterial small subunit ribosomal RNA
Source: RNAcentral